RNAcentral lists this long non-coding RNA (321 nucleotides) under Ananas comosus (pineapple). Its description in RNAcentral is "long non-coding RNA (ACOM_LNC009562)". The record is from RNAcentral. Lineage: Eukaryota; Viridiplantae; Streptophyta; Magnoliopsida; Poales; Bromeliaceae.
AGCACUCUAACAACCUAUGCGAAAUCAACCCACACUGUUUGUAAACUUACACUGCUGGAACUUUUAUCAUAAAAUUGAAUUUUCCACACAAUUAGGCGUACCGACAAAAGAAAGAGACACAACUAAACUAUGGAAAGUUCAAGCAGUUGCCAGGGUCCAGGCUACAGAUGCAGGCAACAUGUGCAGCAAGAUUCAGAAACAACAGAGAUCACACUUUGUUAGGCUCCAUCUCCUCUGCUGCUUCUUUCAGAAUUUCAGUUGUUCUGAACUAUUGCCGAGAACAGCAUCUUAUUGAUAUCCUCAGCAGCAUCGUCCUCGUCC